Molecule: long non-coding RNA, 674 nt
Organism: Acromyrmex echinatior (Panamanian leafcutter ant)
Lineage: Eukaryota; Metazoa; Arthropoda; Insecta; Hymenoptera; Formicidae
Source: RefSeq, a predicted model, not a curated record
CAACGUUGCAAUGUAUCAAAAUUACAUUUAUAACGUCAUCGUGAAAUAUGUCGUAUUAAUACAUCCAAUGUCCUUAAAAAAAUCUUUUAUUACAUUGACAAAGCUGUUGUAUAUCGGCGCUUACAUUUUUGAUCCCUCACUUGUGUUUUAUUGGACAAUUCUAUAUGCAUUCCUGAAGAAAUGUGAUGGAGGGGACGAAACUUAGAAAGAACUCGGGCAAUUACUGGAUCAGUUGUUCAGACGGACCGCUACUGCAACGGUUUUCAAGCAUAGCAUCUCUUGUAAUAAAUCCCGAUAUCAUACAUUUCGUGUAUUGAGAAGAAGACACUGACUCCUACAGCUUACAAAUACCUGGAUAUUGGAAUCGUGGAACCUGUUUUUUGUGGAAAUUGGCGACAACCAAGACGCACAUAAAAACCGAGUCGUUCAUGUAAAAUGGACAUUCGCUGGAUAUAUCCCUGGACGUCAUAUGUGGGCCAACUGACUAGGAAGACGAUCGUCGUGGAGACUUUUCUUCGGAACAUCGUAUUAUAGCAGAUGCACCAGUGCACCUAUAUGAAGCAGUGAGGUAUUUCCGUUGAAAUAAAAAUCUACUGGAGUUUCGAAUUGUGGCGACCAUUCUUCGAUAUAUCCACUCUUAUACCAAGCAUAUUUAAAAAGAUUAUAAAAUUGCG